This 323-nucleotide ribosomal RNA is filed under the name uncultured eukaryote. Its description in RNAcentral is "partial 18S ribosomal RNA". It matches the Rfam family "Eukaryotic small subunit ribosomal RNA", at positions 1470 to 1796 of the family's 1831-position model. The record is from RNAcentral.
CCCUUAGAUGUUCUGGGCUGCACGCGUGCUACAAUGGCGCUUGCAACAAGAUUGCCAACCCGAAAGGGUGAGCGGAUCUUUGAAGUGGCGUCGUGAUCGGGACAGUUGAUUGCAAUUAUUCGACUCGAACGAGGAAUUCCUUGUAAUCGCGAUUCAUCAUAUCGCGCUGAAUACGUCCCUGCCCUUUGUACACACCGCCCGUCGCUCCUACCGAUUGGGUGUGCUGGUGAAAUGUUCGGAUCGGCCGUUUGUCGCGGUUUCCGCGUCAUGUGGCUGAGAAGUUCAUUAAACCCUCCCACCUAGAGGAAGGAGAAGUCGUAACA